CCGGCUAAUUUUUUUGUAUUUUUAGUAGAGACGGGGGUUUCACUGCAUUAGCCAGGAUGGUCUCGAUCUCCUGACCUCGUGAUCUGCCCGCCUCGGCCUCCCAAAGUGCUGGGAUUACAGGCGUGAGCCACUGUGCCCGGCCUCUUCAUUUGUUUUUAAGACAAAAUAUUGAUCUUGAAUAUCAGCUGUUAAUACAAGCAGAUUCAUGGACCUGUGAUAGCAGGUAUGAAAGCAUCGAGCACAGCACUUGGCUCUUAACCAGGAGCUGAAGACUUGCUUCUCCCUUUCCUUUCUUCCCGUGACCUCUUCUGACAUGUCCAGUUCGAAAUUGCAAUUUUUCUAACUUUGAGAUUUAAGAAAUUUUCUUAAACUUUAUAAAAGAACAAAUACAGACAACUGAAAACAAAUUAACGCUUGGCUUUUUUUUUUUUUUUUUUUUUGAGACAGUGUCUCACUCUGCUGCCCAGGCUUGCCUAGGCUGAAGUGCAGUGGCGCGAUCUCGGCACACUGCAACCUCCGCCUCCCAGGUUCAAGUGAUUCUCCUGCCUCAGCCGCCUGAGUAGCUGGGAUUACAGGCAUGCGCCGCCAUGCCCAGCUAAUUGUUGUAUUUUUAGUAGAGACGGGGUUUUUCCGUGUUGGCCAGGCUGUUCUCAAACUCCUGACCUCAGGUGAUCUGCUCGCCUCGGCCUUCCAAAGUGCUGGGGUUACAGGCAUGAGCCACCGCCCCUGGCCUAACACUUGACUUUUAAGGGGCCAAUAUCACUGUGAUUCUAAAAUUUAAGGAGAUGUUAAUGCCGGCCUCUGCAACUACACUUGGAAGAUCCUUCCCAGCAACUGACAACUUGGCCCCUCCACCCCUCCUUCCAGACCUUCCGUGGACACCCUUAAUCACUGCAAGAGCAGCCUGUGCCGUGCUUGGUGAGAUGGUAAACGUAUUUAUCUGAAGCUGGAAGAACACUUUCAGACAUAAUGGGAGCAUUCCCUCAUGGAGCAUGAGGGUGGCCUAAAUGACCUUAUCAGACAGUGGAACAGCUGAGACCGAGAACUGUGAUGGGUGAUUUGAAGAGCUUGGAGCAAGGCUCCACCCCAGACCUAUUGAAUCAGAAAUAGGACUUCACUUCGUUUUGCGAGCUCUGCAGGUGAUCCACAUCCUCUUUAAAGCUUGAAAUCCACCACCUGAAACUUCCUCUAUCUCUGCUUGAAGAUUCCUCAACUUCCACAAAGAAAGAUUUAUUCUUUUUACCUGAGGAAGACGGAGUUUAUAUUUCUGUGAAAGUGCAAAUACAAUGGCAUAACAUGCAAAAUACAUUAGGUUUGAAUAUGAUGAACCUGAUCAAGAAGAAAAAGGAAUCAACCAAACAAAACCAACCAAAACAAACAAAAACAAGACAUUGGGUAAAAAGAACAAGGUGCAGAACAGCUGGUAUAGCAUGUGCCUUUUUUAAACCAUAAAAAGGAAUAGUUGUAUGAAUAUUCUGGGUAGCUGCUAGGAAGACCUUUUAUAAUAUGUGUCAUACACACAUAAUUCUUCUAUUCAAAAAUAGAGUAAUUAAAAAUGCAAACAUUACAGAGAGAAGUCAUAUUAAGCCUCAUUAAUGUUAAAAGAUAAACUGAGGCACAUUAGAAUAUUAAGGAGUUUAUUUGAGCAAACGAUUCAUAAAUCAGGUAGCAUCAGACUUCAGGUGGCUCGAGGCUCCACCAAGAGGGCAAGAGAAGGCUUUAAAAGGGUUAAUUGGUGGCUCCUGAGUUUUAAAGCUGAAGUUGCAUUUUCCUAGAAUAUGACCAUUGAUACUUGGGUUUCGGUUUGCUUCUGUAGGAAUCCAGGGCCCUGGAGCUGGCUCAGCCUAAUGGCCUCUCCAUUAAUUAUCUUAGUUACUUAUACCUAGAGUGAAUCAUUUUAUCAAAAAAAAUUUUCUGAACAGCUUUUGAUUUGAGGAAGAACAAGUAGAAUAAAUGUCCUGAGGACUAGGGAAGCCAAAGAACGUGUGGAGGAGAGGCACAGGAAAGAAUCUCAGAGCCUUGAAGUCGGCAUUUGCCAACUUUACAUUUUUGUUCAAGGUCAGUCUUGACCUUGAUUUACAUUCCCAAAGAUGGAAACAAACCAGUGUGUGUUCUUCACCUGUCACCGACACUCGUUUAGAAAAUAAUUGGGGUCGUCCCGGCGCAGUGGCUCGUGCCUGUAAUCCCAGCACUUUGAGAGGCUGAGGCAAGAGGAUCGCUUGAGCCUGGGAGUUCGAGACCAGCCUGGACAACAUACUGAGAUCCCUGUCUCUACUAAAAAUACAAAAAUUAGCCAGGCGUGGUGGCGCGUGCCUGUAAUCCCAACUACUGGGGUGGCUGAGGCACGAGAAUCGCUUGAAUCUGGGAGGCAGAGGUUGCCGUGAGCUGAGAUUGUGCCCCUGUACUCCAGCCUGGGUGACAAAGCGAGACCCUGUCUCAAAAAAAAAAAAAAAAAAGAAAAGAAAAGAAAACAAGUGGGGGCGUCCUCACUUUCCCAGGCUCCCUCUAAUUGUGUGUGGGGGUUGGGUGUUUAGCACUCACAAGCUUCCGCGAAAUGCUGCCUCAAAUUAUCUUGUAGCCACCAGGUGGCAGCAGCAAUCCACUUUUUGGUCUAACCUGGGAGAGGCUGAACUAGGAUGGUUCUCCUUUAAUUAGCGUACUGGCCAUAGAAUCGUGGACGUUUAGACAUGAAAGAACCUUUCUCAAAAGUUCUGACAACUACAGAUGUUUAAACGGAGAAAAAAUAACAAACAUAUUAAGAACACUUCGUUGUUCACACAAUAAAUUUCAUCUAUUGAAGGGAAGAAAGGAAGUUGUAACAUCUACAAUGUGCUGGGCACUUUGUAUGUUAUCUCAUUUGAUUAUCAGUACAACCUUGUGGGAUGGAUACCAAUGCCUCUAAUUUACCGUGGGGGAAACUCAAGUUGGGAUAGGUUCAGACUUGUCUGAUGUCUCAGAGAAGUAGGUAACAGAGGCAUUUAAAAGUAUCAGACACUAGUCAAAAGUCUUGGAGUUGAACCACAGCAUGCUUUGGUGUGUGUGGGGUGGGAUUGAUCAGCCAAAUGGCAGGAUUUUGAUGGUGAGGGAAUAUGGUUAUUCUUUGAGGACCCUCUGUUUUAUGGCCCAGUACUUGUGCUAGUCACAAAAAAGUAAGAGGAUCAAGGGUGCCUUCUAAAUUUGAACCAUCUUGAAUAAUCAGGAGGAGCUUCUUGAAAUUAGAGGAGUCUUAAUCAGAGAGAGAAUCAUGCUCUGAAGAGGGGACAGAAUGCUUAUUUCUCUUUUUUCUUUUGAGACAGGGUCUCACUCUGUGGUCCAGGCCAGAGUGCAGUGGCGUGAUCGUGGCUCACUGCAGCUUUGAGCUUCUGGGUUCAAGUGAUCUUCCUACUUCAGCCUCCCAAGUAGCUGGGACAACAGGCAUGCACCAUCACGCCCAACUUAUUUUUGUAUUCCUUGUAGAGUCAGGGUUUCUCUGUGUUGUCCUGGCUGGUCUUGAACUCUUAGGCUCAAGCGAUCCUCCUGCCUCAGCCCCUCAAGCAGUGGGAUUACAGGCGUGAGCCACUGUGCCAAGCCAGAACACUUAUUUUUCUAAGAUAAUAUGAACCUGAAGUAAAUGACAAAUUUUAAGUCAUGUAAAGUGUCAGGGGAAAUAUUUAUUAGUGGGACGUUGCUCUAUACUUGUUGCCUUCAUAAUUAAAUAAUACACUGAAGUCUCUACUUUUUAAUAGUAUCUCUUCCUUCUCAUUAGACGAGAUGAAGAAAUUAUCUUCUCACACUUUCCUGCACCUCUUUUCUCCAUAAUUUCCCAAUUUGGGCUGGGUAAACUCUAUUUUUAUGUUGUCAAGGUUAGUAAUUUACGUUCAGUCCUAUAACUGUAAAUAAGAGCUUUGGUGGUAUAAUUAAACAAAGUAUUUGGUGAAGAACUGAGCGGUGUGGUUGGUCAGCAGGAAAGACAUGUCAUCCUCUGUGACUAACUUCAUGUCCUUAUAAGGACAAUCAUCAAGGUCAAAUGCAUCCUGUUCUCUAACAUGCUCAAAAUUAGGCAAUGUUUGGUUUAUUUGUGUGUGUACAUGGCUUUCUUGCAAACAUUUUUGUUUCUUUAAAGGUUGUAUUGGCCUUACCUUAUUUCAAUUGUUAGAGGAAAAUAGGCUCAUUUGUCAUAUCACUAGGAUAUGCCCUCUUGACCAUACUAUUUAUUGAAUGGUGCAGUGUGGACUCCUUAUGGCUUUGCUCUCCAUCUGUCACGGUGGGCUUUGUUUGCAUUGCACUGCUUGGCUGGCUUCCCUCUUUGUUAUAUCUUUGUAAGUUUCCUCCUUAAUUGGAUUUGUCUAUAUGUUUUGUUGAACAUCCUUAAUAAUUUCAGAAAUAGUGGUCAGGGAGUAUAUUUUCCAAAGGUUGGCAUGACUAAGAUGUCUUCUUGUUAUUCUCCUUUGAUUGAAAUUUCAUGAUGAAAAUGUUCCUUUAAUUUCUCUCAAUAGCUCAUAGUAAUUCCUUAUUUUUAUCUAGUACAAAUCACUAGAAUUAAUGUUAGUUGUGUCUUG
Molecule: long non-coding RNA, 4538 nt
Filed under: Homo sapiens (human)
Lineage: Eukaryota; Metazoa; Chordata; Mammalia; Primates; Hominidae
Description: HSALNT0045039
Source: RNAcentral